UACAGAGGUCCCAAGCGUUGUUCGGAUUCAUUGGGCGUAAAGGGUGUGUAGGUGGCGCCGUAAGUCGGGUGUGAAAUCUCGGGGCUUAACCCCGAAACUGCAUUCGAUACUGCGGUGCUUGAGGACUGGAGAGGAGACUGGAAUUCAUGGUGUAGCAGUGAAAUGCGUAGAGAUCAUGAGGAAGACCAGUGGCGAAGGCGGGUCUCUGGACAGUUCCUGACGCUGAGGCACGAAGGCCAGGGGAGCAAACGGG
This 253-nucleotide ribosomal RNA is filed under the name uncultured bacterium. RNAcentral describes it as "partial 16S ribosomal RNA". It matches the Rfam family "Bacterial small subunit ribosomal RNA", at positions 524 to 776 of the family's 1533-position model. The record is from RNAcentral.